RNAcentral lists this ribosomal RNA (422 nucleotides) under uncultured bacterium. Its description in RNAcentral is "partial 16S ribosomal RNA". It matches the Rfam family "Bacterial small subunit ribosomal RNA", at positions 361 to 774 of the family's 1533-position model. The record is from RNAcentral.
AUCUUCCGCAAUGGACGAACGUCUGACGAAGCAAUGCGGCUUGAGUGAUGAGGGCCUUCGAAUCGAAAAAUCCUGUAGUAAGGGAAGAACAAAUAUCGGUGUAAUGUGUCGGUACCUUGACUAUACCCAACCAGACAGCCCCGGCUAAACAUGGGCAGACAGCCGCGGUAAUACGUAGGGGGUAAGCGUUGUCCGGAAUUAUUGGGCGUAAAGGGCACGCAGGCGGUUAUUUAAGUCUGAUGUGAAAUCUUGUGGCUUAACCCCGAGGCGUCAUUGGAAACUGGAUAACUUGAGUACAGAAGAGGAGAGUGGAAUUCCAAGUGUAGCGGUGAAAUGCGUAGAGAUGUGGAGGAACACCAGUGGCGAAGGCGGCUCUCUGGACAGUAACUGACGCUGAGGUGCGAAAGCGUGGGUAGCGAACA